This 504-nucleotide long non-coding RNA is filed under the name Mytilus galloprovincialis (Mediterranean mussel). The record is from RNAcentral. Lineage: Eukaryota; Metazoa; Mollusca; Bivalvia; Mytilida; Mytilidae.
CUUUAAAAGCCUUGUCUGCUUUAAAUUGAUUUAUGGAAAUAAUAAAGUGACAACAUUUGGAUAUUGAUUGUUAAAUGAAGAUUAUAUGCAAAAAGAUAACCUUCUACGUAAUUUUUUAUAAUUGAAUAAUGGAUCUAAGCCAACGCAAAGGACUUGUCAUGGUGACUACCUAAAUCACAAUGCCAAAUAUUAUAUAACAGCGUCAACACAGAUUUGUAAAAAGCGCAUGUCACGAACAUCACAAUCCACAAUACGAGGAACUCAGAUAGCAAGUAGUAUAUACGGAAGGCAUAUUCAGGUUAAAUCGACAUAGUUUACAAUUCCUAGAAUAUAUAUAGAAUAUGACUUAUUUUAUGUCGAGUAUUCGUCUACGAGGCAGCGAUCUAACAAUACAAAAGAAAAAGAAAUAAGACAUUUAUGGACGUUUUUCAAUAUAAGUGUGAAUUUCAGAACUAAAAACAUGGAAGAUCAGCUUGUCUAGAAUUUUAUUUCAAGAGUUAUUUU